This is a small nucleolar RNA of Epinephelus lanceolatus (giant grouper), 75 nucleotides long. RefSeq annotates it as small nucleolar RNA SNORD66. Lineage: Eukaryota; Metazoa; Chordata; Actinopteri; Perciformes; Serranidae. The record is from RefSeq and is a predicted model, not a curated record.
GUUCAGGGAUGAUCUCAAGCUUGUGCCACAUGUCUGUGCCUCUGAUCUAAGUGAUGGGAUUAAGGAGCUGAGGAG